UACGUAGGGGGCGAGCGUUGUCCGGAAUCAUUGGGCGUAAAGCGCGUGUAGGCGGCUCGAUAAGUCCGGUGUGAAACCUUGGGGCUCAACCCCAAGCCUGCACUGGAUACUGCCGAGCUAGAGUCCGGGAGGGGAGAGCGGAAUUCCUAGUGUAGCGGUGAAAUGCGUAGAUAUCGAGAGGAACACCUGCGGCGAAGGCGGGUUGCUGGGCCGACACUGACGCUGACAGCGCGAAAGCCAGGGGAGCAAACGGG
Molecule: ribosomal RNA, 254 nt
Filed under: uncultured bacterium
Lineage: Bacteria
Description: partial 16S ribosomal RNA
Rfam family: Bacterial small subunit ribosomal RNA
Source: RNAcentral